GUACAUAUAUAUGAAUAUAUAUAGCAAUAUAUAUAUAUACUUCCUACCUUCAAUGACCUCGAAGUACAGCAAAUAAUUAUUAUGUGCUAAAUGAUGGAAACACAAAGAUAUACUAUGAAGAGAAGUAGGAGUUGGAGGACCAACUGUGUACAGAGACGAGAUCAUGGAAGAUCAACUGAGCGCCUCUGGCAAAACAUCAAGAGCAAAGAGAAGAUGGCCCAUCAUAAGCCAAAGCAAUUAAAUUCCUCUCCCUCUGGCCACACCAAAGAGCAUUUAACAUGCAUCAUGGUCUCAGGUCAAGAGUAUAUUCAAUAGUUGACAGUGAUGUGGCCUCUAGCUUUCCAGAAGAGAGGAAGUCACUGUCCAUCAUACAGUGCUUUAAUUUGAGUGUGAGCACCUGAAAUUUGGAUUUCUUAAAUAUCUCUGUCUCAGGACUUAGCAUGAUGCCUGAGGCUGAACUGAUGUCUGUGGAGAAAAGAACACGAAGGAAUAAUGUAAUAUGAAACUCCCUAACAUGAUACAUAUACAAAGACUAUUGAGAAAUCAAUGUGGAAAAUGCAAAACUAAGGGAGAAAGCAUUUUGAACCACUCAUCUAAGAAUAUGGUCAGUAUUAAAAAGACAAGAAUAUCAGAAAAA
Molecule: long non-coding RNA, 637 nt
Filed under: Homo sapiens (human)
Lineage: Eukaryota; Metazoa; Chordata; Mammalia; Primates; Hominidae
Description: long intergenic non-protein coding RNA 2311
Source: RNAcentral